RNAcentral lists this ribosomal RNA (528 nucleotides) under Bifidobacterium pseudocatenulatum. RNAcentral describes it as "bacterial SSU rRNA". It matches the Rfam family "Bacterial small subunit ribosomal RNA", at positions 163 to 703 of the family's 1533-position model. The record is from RNAcentral. Lineage: Bacteria; Bacillati; Actinomycetota; Actinomycetes; Bifidobacteriales; Bifidobacteriaceae.
GUAAUGCCGGAUGCUCCGACUCCUCGCAUGGGGUGUCGGGAAAGAUUUCAUCGGUAUGGGAUGGGGUCGCGUCCUAUCAGGUAGUCGGCGGGGUAACGGCCCACCGAGCCUACGACGGGUAGCCGGCCUGAGAGGGCGACCGGCCACAUUGGGACUGAGAUACGGCCCAGACUCCUACGGGAGGCAGCAGUGGGGAAUAUUGCACAAUGGGCGCAAGCCUGAUGCAGCGACGCCGCGUGCGGGAUGACGGCCUUCGGGUUGUAAACCGCUUUUGAUCGGGAGCAAGCCUUCGGGUGAGUGUACCUUUCGAAUAAGCACCGGCUAACUACGUGCCAGCAGCCGCGGUAAUACGUAGGGUGCAAGCGUUAUCCGGAAUUAUUGGGCGUAAAGGGCUCGUAGGCGGUUCGUCGCGUCCGGUGUGAAAGUCCAUCGCUUAACGGUGGAUCUGCGCCGGGUACGGGCGGGCUGGAGUGCGGUAGGGGAGACUGGAAUUCCCGGUGUAACGGUGGAAUGUGUAGAUAUCGGAAA